CUGCUUCCUCUUAUCCAGUGUUAAUUUUCUCAUUCCGAAAAGCAGGAAUGACCAUAAUCGGCCUCUUAAGGUGGCAUGACGAUGACAUCAUUGACACGAAAAGCGUCUAACAUCGCUGGGAACCCAGCAGGUACUCAGUAAUUCUAGCCACUUUUAGCCCCAUCCAGGAUCACAUGGUGGCUCCCCCAGGGACUUUGCACCCAGUCGCGAGGACAGAAGCAGGUGACAAGUGUUUGUCACACCGGCAGGCACUGAGCUGUGAGACAGCCAGACCUGGUGGCUGGCGUUUCAUCUCAAAGCAUCUCCCUCUUCUGCGGGACGCAGACACCAAUAAAAGACAGGCUGUCGCGCCCGCUGCGUUGUUCCCCGUGUCCCGCGCUCUCGGUUUCAUGUGCGGCGACAAGAAGCUCAUUUGUUGCCCGUCCCCCCCCCGCCCCGUUCACGUGGUGCUGGUGAGGCACCCCCAGAAUGUCUUUUGUCAUCUGCAGCGUUUUCCAGGGAAGAGUUCAAAGACGUGGGAAGUAAUGGAAAUACUGUGAAAAAUAUUGAAAAAGUCUUCCCGGCUGCAGGGAACGUGGACUGUCACUCUUCAGAACCCAAAGGCUCCCCUGCGAUGUCCCGCUUUCAGAGUCUCUGUUUCACGCGAGCUGUCCCGAAGCCACCACACGCGGUACGGUGCCAUUUUCCUGACACACUAUUGGGUGGCUGAGCACAGAGCUGGGGACAGGUGCCCAAACCCGCCGUGACCCCGGCGUGGCUGUGGGGCUCCCAGGCCUCUGUAGCUAAGCUGUGCCUGUGAAUGUCUUCAAUUCUAGUGUCUGGCACCUGUUGUUAGGAGAAGUUGUUCACUCUGUUGGCGUUUGUGAAUCUGAGACUUUUAGAAGUUUCUAGAACAUAGGCCUUGUGGGUCUGAAGGGCCUGCCUGAUAUCUGGCUAUGAUGUGACAGCACCAGGUCACAGAGGCAGGGGGGGCACAGGCAGGGCCCCCCGCAGGCAGAGCCCCCGCAGCAGGGUACAGGUUCGGGCACCAGAAAGCUGAGCUGGUAGGAGUCAGGGACUCCUCUUUCCUUCCCUCCCAGAAAUCCAGAAAUAUCAGAAUGGGCCGUGAAAGGAGCUCAUUGGCAUCUAUUGCCUCGAUCCUGUUUAGUCUUUUGUUUUUCUUUUAAGUAGGCUCCACACCCAGUGCAGAUUCCUACCCGGGGCUUGAACUCGUGACCUUGAGAUCAACACCCGAGCUGAGAUCGAGCGGGACUCUUAACUGACCGAGCCACCCAGGCAUCCCAAUCCUUAAAAGCGCUGAUGGGGAUGUUAAAAUCUAAGAACCCUGGAGCUGGAAGGAAACUGGUCCAGUGUGUUCACAUUGUUGAUGGAGAAACUGAGGCCCAGAGCGAAGAAAGAACCUACCCAGGGACACAGGGCCCUGGUGGCAACACUGGGGCGGAAUUCUGGUUUGCAACUCUGUAUCUUCUCCCACAUCCUGCCGCUGCAAUGAACAUUCCAAGAGGUGCUGACUGUGAUCUAGAUGUAUUCAUUCCGGGCACACAAAUGCUUCACCCUCUGUAGUAUUCUCGGUUAGGGUCUCGAACGCAGUUCAAGGAGUUAAUGCCUGCGGUUGGUUAUGUGCCUUAAACUCAGGACCACCUAAUCUUGGUGGCUUAAAGAGAUUAUAUUACAUAUUACUAUUAUCUGUA
Long non-coding RNA from Leopardus geoffroyi (Geoffroy's cat), 1691 nucleotides. RefSeq lists it as uncharacterized. Lineage: Eukaryota; Metazoa; Chordata; Mammalia; Carnivora; Felidae. The record is from RefSeq and is a predicted model, not a curated record. The transcript is spliced from 2 exons.